Molecule: ribosomal RNA, 399 nt
Filed under: uncultured eukaryote
Lineage: Eukaryota
Description: partial 18S ribosomal RNA
Rfam family: Eukaryotic small subunit ribosomal RNA
Source: RNAcentral
CAAUAGCGUAUAUUAAAGUUGUUGCAGUUAAAAAGCUCGUAGUUGGAUUUCUGAUAUCUUUUUUCUUCUUUUCUUGUUUACUAAAUUGUAAAUGUAAAGUUUGAUUGGAUAUCUUCCUUCCCUGUUAAUUUGGUUUUUAAGCAUUAACUUGUUUAUGGAUCAAAUGGGGAUCUUUUACUGUGAAAAAAUUAGAGUGUUCAAAGCAAGUAUUUAUUUUCUUGAAUACAUUAGCAUGGAAUAAUAAGAUAGGACUUUGGUUAUAUUUUGUUGGUUUGCAAACUGAGGUAAUGAUUAAUAGGAACAUAUUGGGGAUAUCUGUAUUUUUUAGUCAGAGGUGAAAUUCUUGGAUUUAAGAAAGACAAACUACAGCGAAAGCAUUUAUCAAGGAUGUUUUCAUUG